UAGGGAAUCUUCGGCAAUGGACGGAAGUCUGACCGAGCAACGCCGCGUGAGUGAAGAAGGUUUUCGGAUCGUAAAGCUCUGUUGUAAGAGAAGAACGAGUGUGAGAGUGGAAAGUUCACACUGUGACGGUAUCUUACCAGAAAGGGACGGCUAACUACGUGCCAGCAGCCGCGGUAAUACGUAGGUCCCGAGCGUUGUCCGGAUUUAUUGGGCGUAAAGCGAGCGCAGGCGGUUAGAUAAGUCUGAAGUUAAAGGCUGUGGCUUAACCAUAGUACGCUUUGGAAACUGUUUAACUUGAGUGCAAGAGGGGAGAGUGGAAUUCCAUGUGUAGCGGUGAAAUGCGUAGAUAUAUGGAGGAACACCGGUGGCGAAAGCGGCUCUCUGGCUUGUAACUGACGCUGAGGCUCGAAAGCGUGGGGAGCGAACAGGAUUAGAUACCCUGGUAGUCCACGCCGUAACGAUGAGUGCUAGGUGUUAGACCCUUUCCGGGGUUUAGUGCCGCAGCUAACGCAUUAAGCACUCCGCCUGGGGAGUACGACCGCAAGGUU
Molecule: ribosomal RNA, 548 nt
Filed under: uncultured bacterium
Lineage: Bacteria
Description: bacterial SSU rRNA
Rfam family: Bacterial small subunit ribosomal RNA
Source: RNAcentral